CGYCUUCAGCCCCAUAAUUGAUAGGUCCGWCCUGCCCAGUSARCCCUUUAAACGGCCGCGGUACCCUGACCGUGCUAAGGUAGCAUAAUCCCUUGCCUUUUAAUUGAUGGCUAGUAUGAAUGGUCAGACGAGCGUAAAUUUGUCUCUAACAAGCCCCCAUUAAAUUAACCUUUAGGUGAAAAGGCCUAACCGUCCAAGGAGGACAAGAAGACCCUAUCGAGCUUUAUAUUUUUAUGUCUUUAACGCAUAUACCUUAUUUUGUUGGGGCAACAAAGGACCAAACAAACCGUCCUUCUCAACUCUCACCCAACCAAUCCGCACAAUCUAUUUUCAAUCCAAUCAACCUAUAGCUACCGUAGGGAUAACAGACUAAUCCUCCCCGAGAGCUCACAUUGACGGGAGGGCUUGGCACCUCGAUGUUGGCUUAGGGCUCUCUAUAAGAAGCAGCAUUCUUACUAGUA
This 461-nucleotide ribosomal RNA is filed under the name Thysanocardia nigra. RNAcentral describes it as "partial 16S ribosomal RNA". It matches the Rfam family "Bacterial large subunit ribosomal RNA", at positions 1894 to 2573 of the family's 2925-position model. The record is from RNAcentral. Lineage: Eukaryota; Metazoa; Annelida; Sipuncula; Golfingiida; Golfingiidae.